Long non-coding RNA from Dermochelys coriacea (leatherback sea turtle), 3251 nucleotides. RefSeq lists it as uncharacterized. The transcript has 2 exons. The record is from RefSeq and is a predicted model, not a curated record. Lineage: Eukaryota; Metazoa; Chordata; Testudines; Dermochelyidae.
CCAAUGAGAGCUGUGGAGCUGGCCCUUGGGGCAGGGGCAGCGCGGGUAGCCUCCCUGGACACCCAUGCAUCUAGAGGCUGCAGGGAGCUGGCGGCCACUUCUGGGAGCUGUAUGGAGGUAGGGCAGGCAGGGAGCCUGCCUUAGCCCCGGGCCCCUGCUGCACUGCUGACCAGACUUUUAAUGGCCCGGUCGGCGGUGCUGACCAGAGCUGCCAGGGUCCCUUUUCGACUGGGUGUUUUCUGGUUGAAAACUGGAUGCCUGGCAACCCUUGGGUGGAGAAGUGACCCUGUGGGAUGCAGAGUAGGAAGCAGCAAGGCUGGGGACUGAACAGACCUUGGCUGUGUGUUGUAGGAUCCCCAGGCUGGAACCCAGAGUAGAGGACAGGCUUGGGUUCCCCUAUCAGCCACCGAGGAAGGGGCACCAGGGGGCAGUGAAAGGGAAGACUGCCUGAGGCUGCUGCUGAGAAGGGACUUUGUGUAAGGGGACUGUUGAGCCCUUACUGAAACUUAGUGUGGUUUUUUUGGUUGGCCCUCUCCCAGUACCAAAAGAAAGGGAAAAGAUGAGAAAUCAAGACACUGAGACUGACAGUCUCCGAGGCCAGUGCUCCAGGUCAGCAUGGCUGACAGGGCAGGCUGGCCAAUGUGGGAGUCAGGAGCCUGGGGUCCCAUCCUCCAUGUCAGCUGGAGCUGCCUGGGCCACAGCAAGAUCAAGAUAAGGAGAGACCAGGAGCCAGAGAGAACCAGAAUAGCAGUCUGGGGAGCUGAGCUGGAGGCAGAGCGAAGCUGCGGCUGAAGUAGUCUGGUGUCGGGUGUGGUGAGUAGCUGGGGAAAGUGAGGGGGACCCGGGGCAGUGGGCCCAGCGCAGAGAGAUGCCCCCCAGCCAAGAUGCCUUGCAGGCCAGACUUGGAGGGGGGAUCAUAACCCUGAUGGGACGUGGGCGAUGCUGGGAAGAGGGGUCCUGCCACCUAGAGCCUGAGGACAUGUGGCCACCGCAAGAGCAAAUGUCCAACCCGCAGCAUCCCUGCAGCACAGCCAGGCCCUGGGCAGGAGGCCGGGAACGUGAGGUACAGACUGAACUUCCCUUACAUUCCAGAGACAGCUGUUUGUUGUUCUGCCGUGGCCACAGAACGGGGUUACAUGUUUUCCUUUAAUCUUCCCCAUUUUUUAAAUUGGUUGCUGUUUAAUAAAUUGUAUUUGCUUUGAACUGUAUGUAAUGAUCAGUGGGUCAGGGAAGUGUCCAGUGUGAAGAGUACCCUGGAGUGGGGACACCCUAGCCCCCAUCCUAAGUGACCAUGACUAGACUGGGGGGGGUGGUGUUGAGCCCCCAGGAAUCCUGGGCCCAACCUUGUUGGGGUUACAAGGACUGCAACACAGAAUGGGAGGGCAGCCCUUGAGGUCAGGCAGGCCUCUGGGUAAAAGGGAGGAGGAGCGAGGACUCUGAUCCUUCUGCUAGCCAAUUCCACCGGGGUAGUAUAUAAGCCAGGAAUGUUCCUCACAAUGGUGGAGCCAUUCCCCCGCUUACAUCGUAUACCCCUAGAAGGGGAAACUAUGUAGUGACCUGGCCAGGGGGAUGAGUCACAAAGAGAAGUAAUACUGUAGCUCACAAAAGCUUAUGCUCAAAUAAAUUUAUUAGUCUAAGGUGCCUCAAGUAUUCCUUUUCUUAAAGAGAAGGCUGCAGUUCCUGGAACAAGAGAAGCUGCAGAGAGGGGAAGAGAGAGAGUGUGACUACCAGAAGGGGCGUCAGCCUGGCAGAGCUAAUCCCCUGAACUGUCGGGAGGCAGUACUGUCCUGCAAGCUCCAGUUGUCUAACAAUCAGAAGGAGACCUGUCUAAUCAUCUGGGGGCUUUGAAUUUCUCUGGGGGAGGAAAUGGAUAAGCACAAUUUAGAGUAUGGUGUUUUAGAAAAUAGUAAACUCUUUCUUUUCUGGGCCAGGCAGGCUUUUCCCCAGGCAUAAUUCACAGCAAAAUAAGAUCUCAGUAAUAUGUAUUAGCUGGAUACAGAUUACGUUGCAUUCACAUAAUGUAAUUAUAUGUAUGGUCAUAGCUGUGAAAAUCAUAGCCGUAUCCUUGUCUGGCUAACAAUCUCUGGGUGCCAUGGUAUUGGCAAGGGCUUUUGAGAAUUCUGUCCCCAUGCUGCAUUAAGCAGUGUCUUAGUUGGAGAGUGAGAUUUUCAGAAGUGCCUAAGUCACUUAGGAAUACAUGUUCUAUUGAAUGUCAAUGAAACAUGUACUCAGUUUUGACCAGCCCAUCCAGUCCCUAUGUCAGAGCCUACUAUCUAUGAGAACAAAAACAUACAUGUCUAAAGAUUCUUAUAUGACCCCUAUUACUACAGUAUCUGAGCACCUCAGUUUUUAGUGUAUUUAGCCUCACAACAUCCCUGUGAAGAAGGAAACUAUUGUCCACAUUUUGCACCUGGAGAACUGCGACACAGAGACUAAGUGACUUGCCUGAAGUUUGUGGCUGAACAGGUAGUUGAACCCAGGUCUCUCAAGUCAGCACCCUCACCACUGGCCCAACCUUCCUCUUUACAUGUGAGGGAGAAGGAUGAUUUAUAUAAAACAUAUACUUGUAAACAUCUAUCUAUGCAUUUUGUUUUCUACUCUCUCUACUUUGGGCUGCCAUGCUUGAAAUGGGAACUACACAAAAAGAUACCAACUACAGGAAAGCUGAGCACUCUGACUUCAUGCUUCCAUGUGAAAGCUGCAGAGCUGAGCCUUGAGCUCAGUUCCUCAUACUUCAGGAGCAACACUGUGGUGUAUGUCAUGCUGCUGGAAAACCGAGAGAGUGAUUUUUUUUCUGCAGUAAUGAACCCUGCUGACUCUCCCCAGGAGGGGAAUUAGAUUCCAGAGGAAGACCUGGGCUGUAGAUGUGCUGCUGAGCAUUUGCUAAAAUUUCCCAUGUUUGCUACCCUCAGUCUAGCAUCGUUGGGAGUGCUAGUGCAGAUAGGUCUGCAAGAGGCUCCCAACAGUGCUUAAAAUAUUGUUGGUCCCUUUCUACACUAGUGCUCUCACUGUUGUAUUUUUGCUAAAAAAGUAGACAAGGCCUUAUUUCCAUUCUUAUUCGUGAGGGAGGGUGCCCUAUAUGAUGAUGCAGAACCUAUUUUAAAUAAGGAACCAAGGCACGCCUACUAGAUGUCUUAUGCUGUUCCACCUCAGGCUGCAGGAAUAAGUGGGAAAAGGGCUGUACUAUUACUUUGUACUGCAACAUAUAUAUAUAUAUAUAUUGUAUUAAAUCAUUUCCAAACACAGGAAAA